GAUGAAGAACGUAGCGAAAUGCGAUAAGUAAUGUGAAUUGCAGAAUUCAGUGAAUCAUCGAAUCUUUGAACGCACAUUGCGCCCGCCAGUAUUCUGGCGGGCAUGCCUGUUCGAGCGUCAUUACAACCCUCAGGCCCCCGGGCCUGGCGUUGGGGAUCGGCGGAGCCCCCCGUGGGCACACGCCGUCCCCCAAAUACAGUGGCGGUCCCGCCGCAGCUUCCAUCGCGUAGUAGCUAACACCUCGCGACUGGAGAGCGGCGCGGCCACGCCGUAAAACACCCAACUCUUCUGAAGUUGACCUCGCAUCAGGUAGGAAUACCCGCUGAACUUAAGCAUAUCAAUAAGCGGAGGA
Molecule: unclassified non-coding RNA, 352 nt
Filed under: soil metagenome
Description: partial contains 5.8S ribosomal RNA, internal transcribed spacer 2, and large subunit ribosomal RNA
Rfam family: 5.8S ribosomal RNA (bases 1-120)
Source: RNAcentral